AUAUCUUUUCAGUUUUAUUAAAUGGAAUUUCACUAAGUUUCUUGUCGAUAAAGACGGGCAACCAGUUGCUCGUUAUGCACCAAACCACGAACCUCUGGCCAUUGAACCAGAUCUUCAGAAAUAUUUUUAAUCAGGACUAAUGCAUUUGAUUUAAAUCUCAUUGUGUAGAAAUAUGAUGGUUGACCAGAAAACCAUUACUUAUGGAUAGGUGAACUGGAUGACAAUUCUAUCACAUUGAAUAUUAAUUCAAAUGUUCAGACAUGAUUAUUUUUAAUAAACUCAUCGUUUUCAUUUAUUAUUAUUAUUUUUUGAAAAGUAUUAGUUAAAUAAAAUUUGAGCUGUAAUUUUAGUGAUUUGAUUAUUUAGUGAGAAUAAAUAAUUUUCAAUCUGUUU
This is a long non-coding RNA of Centruroides sculpturatus (bark scorpion), 393 nucleotides long. RefSeq lists it as uncharacterized. Lineage: Eukaryota; Metazoa; Arthropoda; Arachnida; Scorpiones; Buthidae. The record is from RefSeq and is a predicted model, not a curated record. The transcript is spliced from 2 exons.